CCAUGCCACCAGCUUUCAUCCCGGGCACAUCAUACAAUCCAUUGUCUACAGCCAAGCACUGAGGUACAAUCGCAUCUGCUCUAACCCCUCAGACAGAGACCAACACCUACA
Non-coding RNA from Chelonoidis abingdonii (Abingdon island giant tortoise), 111 nucleotides. Lineage: Eukaryota; Metazoa; Chordata; Testudines; Testudinidae. The record is from RefSeq and is a predicted model, not a curated record.